AUUGAACGCUGGCGGCAGGCCUAACACAUGCAAGUCGAGCGGAUGAAGGGAGCUUGCUCCUGGAUUCAGCGGCGGACGGGUGAGUAAUGCCUAGGAAUCUGCCUGGUAGUGGGGGAUAACGUCCGGAAACGGGCGCUAAUACCGCAUACGUCCUGAGGGAGAAAGUGGGUGAUCUUCGGACCUCACGCUAUCAGAUGAGCCUAGGUCGGAUUAGCUAGUUGGUGGGGUUAAGGCCUACCAAGGCGACGAUCCGUAACUGGUCUGAGAGGAUGAUCAGUCACACUGGAACUGAGACACGGUCCAGACUCCUACGGGAGGCAGCAGUGGGGAAUAUUGGACAAUAGGCGAAAGCCUGAUCCAGCCAUGCCGCGUGUGUGAAGAAGGUCUUCGGAUUGUAAAGCACUUUAAGUUGGGAGGAAGGGCAGUAAGUUAAUACCUUGCUGUUUUGACGUUACCAACAGAAUAAGCACCGGCUAACUUCGUG
This 484-nucleotide ribosomal RNA is filed under the name uncultured bacterium. RNAcentral describes it as "partial 16S ribosomal RNA". It matches the Rfam family "Bacterial small subunit ribosomal RNA", at positions 30 to 507 of the family's 1533-position model. The record is from RNAcentral.